GCAGGCUGCAACUCGCCUGCAUGAAGCUGGAAUUGCUAGUAAUCNCGGAUCAGCAUGCCGCGGUGAAUACGUUCCCGGGCCUUGUACACACCGCCCGUCACACCAUGAGAGUCGGGAACACCCGAAGUCCGUAGUCUAACCGCAAGGAGGGCGCGGCCGAAGGUGGGUCCGGUAAUUGGGGUGAAGUCGUAACAAGGUAGC
This 201-nucleotide ribosomal RNA is filed under the name uncultured bacterium. RNAcentral's name for it is "partial 16S ribosomal RNA". It matches the Rfam family "Bacterial small subunit ribosomal RNA", at positions 1300 to 1500 of the family's 1533-position model. The record is from RNAcentral.